GACGAACGCUGGCGGCGUGCUUAACACAUGCAAGUCGAACGGUGAAGGGACUGGUUUUGCUGGUCCUGGAUGAGUGGCGAACGGGUGAGUAACACGUGAGUAACCUGCCCCCUUCUUCUGGAUAACCGCAUGAAAGUGUGGCUAAUACGGGAUAUUCUGGGUCUGUCGCAUGGUGGGCCUGGGAAAGAUUGCGCCUUUUUUGGUGUUUUUGGUGGGGGAUGGGCUCGCGGCCUAUCAGCUUGUUGGUGGGGUGAUGGCCUACCAAGGCGGUGACGGGUAGCCGGCCUGAGAGGGUGGACGGUCACACUGGGACUGAGACACGGCCCAGACUCCUACGGGAGGCAGCAGUGGGGAAUAUUGCACAAUGGGCGCAAGCCUGAUGCAGCGACGCCGCGUGAGGGAUGGAGGCCUUCGGGUUGUGAACCUCUUUCGCCAGUGAAGCAGGCCUGCCUCUCUUUGUGGGUGGGUUGACGGUAGCUGGAUAAGAAGCGCCGGCUAACUACGUG
This 506-nucleotide ribosomal RNA is filed under the name uncultured bacterium. RNAcentral describes it as "partial 16S ribosomal RNA". It matches the Rfam family "Bacterial small subunit ribosomal RNA", at positions 28 to 507 of the family's 1533-position model. The record is from RNAcentral.